CCAAUAUCCAGCUCAUUGUUUUUGUCUCCGAAUGGCAAAAACAUCAUUACAAAUUACAAUAUAACAAUCCACGCUGGUCUAGUCUGGACUGAGGGCCUUUUUUGAUAUCGAUCACAUGAGUGAUAAAAAAAACGCCGCACAGUGGAUCAGCAACCAAUCGCACAUCCUCACCGAUCAUUUUGAUGACAAGUCAAAGAAACAUGCAAUGUCGAUAAAUUCUAAAACCAUAGCCCGGUCGCUGGCUGUUGAAAAAUUAAUCGACGCGAAGACGAAUUUGAGAAACAGAAAUGCUAGGGGAUGGCAGAGAGACUCCUUCCAGUUGGGCACCUAAGGUAAAGAAGCAGCAUACAAUCGUGCCUUAGCUUGAUUUUGCUUGAGGGAAAGUUGUUGGUUGUUCGUGGCCUUCUGCCCACAGCACGCUCAAGUAUAUGUUGGAUAAUUUAGCCAGUGAAAGUUCAGCGGAUGUGGAUUGGAGGCACUCGUUUUACUUGAAUUUGAUUGCACAUUCAUCAUACACAGCAACUGUGGCAAUUUGCAGUCAACAAGUCCUUCGAAAUCAUCAAGCCGGUUAAGAUACACAGUUGUCUCCUAUAUAUAAGCUUGCAGAGGUAUUAGACAUUUUACGACCCCGCUGGGAUCAACCACAGGGCAACGAAGAGGGAGAGUAAUCGAAACCCUUGUUUCAAGAGGGCCAGUAAUUCUAUUUUCCCAUUUAAUUCUUAUAUUUCUCUCUCUAUCUCCCCCACCUCCUCUUCAACAGCUGGCAAGUCUUGAUUUGGGAGUCUUCUUGGUCAAUCCCCUGGGAAAACAGACAGACUCCACAUGAAAGGUCCAGGAGGACAGGGGGAAGUUGAAGUAGCUGUUUCUGGUGUUGCAGAUCAAAGCCAGCACGAUGUUGGCCCCUUUUCACCUGUUACUUCAAAGAACGGAUUUGGGAUUGGCUCAGUUUUUUGAAAAGCAGCAUCUGUGGCAUCUGUGGCAGCAAAGCAUGGUCUUCUGAUGACGAGAUUUUGCCCCUCAAAUGCUGCUUAAUGUCCAUAUCAUUGCCCUGGGAAUAUAUCGUUUAUGAUCUUUUAUUCAAGGAUAUGAACAUUAUCUUUCCAUGUUCAUUCUUCUGUUGGGGGCUGGUACUGAUUUCCUCACAUGUACAAAAAGAGUGCUAAUACAUUUAAUAAUUGCAAUAUCAGGGAAGUCCUCUAAAUAUACUACAUUAUCAUUUGUGAAAAUUUACAAGGGACCAAGUGAUCGCCUACAAGUGGAAAUUAAGUGUGGGAUUAACAACUUUCGGAUGAUAAGCUUUAGUGGAACUUGUAAUUUAAGUUGUGGAUGAAAAUUCCCUUAUGGUUAAGUAGUGUUAUAGGGCUGUAUUGUGAUGUUGUGAUAAUCAAUCACGUACGAAACUAAUGUAAGCGGCGCCAGUUGAUGAUUUCCACUCUCGAACUUCAAUAGGCGUCCUUUUCAUUUAAAGCAGCCGAAUGUUUGACAUUUCAGCAGCGCAUUGGAUCAUUUGCCGGAUCAACUUUGAACCUCAGCAAUUCUUUUGUUGGAUGAAAUCUGAUGUCAGAAUCAUGUUGUCUAUGUGUCGUUUGCAUAUUAAAAUCCAUUCCUACCAGGUUCAAUGUAUAGUUCUGUAAGUUUCAUUUUUAACCAUUUCCCACCCCCACACUCCUUUUUGCGGGCUGCCGUGGCUAAGAAAAAUUUCAGCCAUGCUUUCUUUUCGCCAGGUAAAGAAAGAAAAGCUCCGCAGGUAGUUAUCAGGAUUUGAGGAUUUAAAUGUAAACUUGUUUGUGCGGGGAUGCUGCGACCAAUUAGCAUACCGGAUGCUAAUAAAGGCAAGAACUGGACGAUUCCCUUCGGCCUAUCCUCAUUAGUAGUUGGAUCUUUUCUGCCUAUGUCCAAGACUUUCCAAGACGCCCUUUUCCGUGUAGCUUAAGGUUUCUCCUUUUAUUAGCUGACGGGAGACUGUUGGUUCAUUCUUUUGCUUAUCUGAGGUGCUUUAUUCCAAUUCCUUGGUGUAUAAGCUUUGUCCCUUCCAUUGAAUGGUAUUCAAUAUUCUUCCUGCGAAACGGAUGCAGCUAAAGAAUUCGCCAAAAUAGUACGCAACUUUGUGUUAUUUGUUGUGUUCUCAUUUACGAGUCAAUGUCAUAUUGCUACGAUGCCU
Molecule: long non-coding RNA, 2161 nt
Organism: Populus trichocarpa (black cottonwood)
Lineage: Eukaryota; Viridiplantae; Streptophyta; Magnoliopsida; Malpighiales; Salicaceae
Exons: 7
Source: RefSeq, a predicted model, not a curated record